UACCAGCUGGCUGCAACUGUUUAUUAAAAACACAGCACUGUGCAAACACGAAAGUGGACGUAUACGGUGUGACGCCUGCCCGGUGCCGGAAGGUUAAUUGAUGGGGUCAGCGCAAGCGAAGCUCCUGAUCGAAGCCCCGGUAAACGGCGGCCGUAACUAUAACGGUCCUAAGGUAGCGAAAUUCCUUGUCGGGUAAGUUCCGACCUGCACGAAUGGCGUAAUGAUGGCCAGGCUGUCUCCACCCGAGACUCAGUGAAAUUGAACUCGCUGUGAAGAUGCAGUGUACCCGCGGCAAGACGGAAAGACCCCGUGAACCUUUACUAUAGCUUGACACUGAACAUUGAGCCUUGAUGUGUAGGAUAGGUGGGAGGCUUUGAAGUGUGGACGCCAGUCUGCAUGGAGCCGACCUUGAAAUACCACCCUUUAAUGUUUGAUGUUCUAACGUGGACCCGUGAUCCGGGUUGCGGACAGUGUCUGGUGGGUAGUUUGACUGGGGCGGUCUCCUCCUAAAGAGUAACGGAGGAGCACGAAGGUUGGCUAAUCCUGGUCGGACAUCAGGAGGUUAGUGCAAUGGCAUAAGCCAGCUUGACUGCGAGCGUGACGGCGCGAGCAGGUGCGAAAGCAGGUCAUAGUGAUCCGGUGGUUCUGAAUGGAAGGGCCAUCGCUCAACGGAUAAAAGGUACUCCGGGGAUAACAGGCUGAUACCGCCCAAGAGUUCAUAUCGACGGCGGUGUUUGGCACCUCGAUGUCGGCUCAUCACAUCCUGGGGCUGAAGUAGGUCCCAAGGGUAUGGCUGUUCGCCAUUUAAAGUGGUACGCGAGCUGGGUUUAGAACGUCGUGAGACAGUUCGGUCCCUAUCUGCCGUGGGCGCUGGAGAACUGAGGGGGGCUGCUCCUAGUACGAGAGGACCGGAGUGGACGCAUCACUGGUGUUCGGGUUGUCAUGCCAAUGGCACUGCCCGGUAGCUAAAUGCGGAAGAGAUAAGUGCUGAAAGCAUCUAAGCACGAAACUUGCCCCGAGAUGAGUUCUCCCUGAGACUUUAGGUCUCCUGAAGGAACGUUGAAGACGACGACGUUGAUAGGCCGGGUGUGUAAGCGCAGCGAUGCGUUGAGCUAACCGGUACUAAUGAACCGUGAGGCUUAACCUUA
This 1148-nucleotide ribosomal RNA is filed under the name Salmonella enterica. RNAcentral's name for it is "partial 23S ribosomal RNA". It matches the Rfam family "Bacterial large subunit ribosomal RNA", at positions 1783 to 2925 of the family's 2925-position model. Lineage: Bacteria; Pseudomonadati; Pseudomonadota; Gammaproteobacteria; Enterobacterales; Enterobacteriaceae. RNAcentral also lists the same sequence under 2 other names. The record is from RNAcentral.